RNAcentral lists this ribosomal RNA (462 nucleotides) under uncultured bacterium. RNAcentral describes it as "bacterial SSU rRNA". It matches the Rfam family "Bacterial small subunit ribosomal RNA", at positions 28 to 507 of the family's 1533-position model. The record is from RNAcentral.
GACGAACGCUGGCGGCGUGCUUAACACAUGCAAGUCGAACGGUAAGGCCCUUCGGGGUACACGAGUGGCGAACGGGUGAGUAACACGUGGGUGAUCUGCCCUGCACUUCGGGAUAAGCUUGGGAAACUGGGUCUAAUACCGGAUAGGACCACGGUCUGCAUGGAUUGUGGUGGAAAGCUUUUGCGGUGUGGGAUGGGCCCGCGGCCUAUCAGCUUGUUGGUGGGGUGAUGGCCUACCAAGGCGACGACGGGUAGCCGGCCUGAGAGGGUGUCCGGCCACACUGGGACUGAGAUACGGCCCAGACUCCUACGGGAGGCAGCAGUGGGGAAUAUUGCACAAUGGGCGCAAGCCUGAUGCAGCGACGCCGCGUGGGGGAUGACGGCCUUCGGGUUGUAAACCUCUUUCAGCAUCGACGAAGCGCAAGUGACGGUAGAUGCAGAAGAAGCACCGGCCAACUACGUG